AGUCUCCUUAUAUCCUUUUAAUGCUGAAAGGAUCUGAUGCAAUUGAAGCCUUCGUUAACAAUAUCAGAAGCCAACCAAUUUUCAAGUUCUCUUUUCUGCUUGCAAUAUCUCUGUCCUGUUGGUUGUAAAAUUGGUUCAAGGAUAGACUUGAAGGAGGGUAUGAUGGUCACUAUGGAAUGCGAUGACUUAGUUUUCCACCAGGAAAUUGUCAAUUUUCCUUCGA
Long non-coding RNA from Telopea speciosissima, 223 nucleotides. RefSeq lists it as uncharacterized. Lineage: Eukaryota; Viridiplantae; Streptophyta; Magnoliopsida; Proteales; Proteaceae. The transcript has 2 exons. The record is from RefSeq and is a predicted model, not a curated record.